AGCUUUGCGCAGGGGCACUAUAGUAGCCAAUGAAGUUUAUCCGAGGCACGAUUAUUGCUAAUUGAAAACUUUUCCUUUUCCCACUUCUCUCUGUCUUCUUUUCUCUGAAAGUAUAAAACCUGAUGUAAUUUCUGGUGUUUGAAAGUAAU
Non-coding RNA from Ailuropoda melanoleuca (giant panda), 149 nucleotides. Lineage: Eukaryota; Metazoa; Chordata; Mammalia; Carnivora; Ursidae. The record is from Rfam.